This 492-nucleotide ribosomal RNA is filed under the name uncultured bacterium. RNAcentral describes it as "partial 16S ribosomal RNA". It matches the Rfam family "Bacterial small subunit ribosomal RNA", at positions 29 to 507 of the family's 1533-position model. The record is from RNAcentral.
AGUGAACGCUGGCGGUAGGCCUAACACAUGCAAGUCGAACGGCAGCACAGUAAGAGCUUGCUCUUACGGGUGGCGAGUGGCGGUCGGGUGAGGAAUACAUCGGAAUCUACUUUUUCGUGGGGGAUAACGUAGGGAAACUUACGCUAAUACCGCAUACGACCUACGGGUGAAAGCAGGGGAUCUUCGGACCUUGCGCGAUUGAAUGAGCCGAUGUCGGAUUAGCUAGUUGGCGGGGUAAAGGCCCACCAAGGCGACGAUCCGUAGCUGGUCUGAGAGGAUGAUCGGCCACACUGGAACUGAGACACGGUCCAGACUCCUACGGGAGGCAGCAGUGGGGAAUAUUGGACAAUGGGCGCAAGCCUGAUCCAGCCAUACCGCGUGGGUGAAGAAGGCCUUCGGGUUGUAAAGCCCUUUUGUUGGGAAAGAAAAGCAGCAGGUUAAUACCCCGCUGUUCUGACGGUACCCAAAGAAUAAGCACCGGCUAACUUCGUG